AUACCUUUCUGGGCCUUUUGGCCAAAAUCAAGUGUACUCUCUGUUCUUAUCAGUGUAAUAACUCAUACGUGGACUGAUAGUUCACAUAAUAUUAAAUUAAUUUUUAUUACGGAAGGGCUAAGAACAGUGGCUUGCCACUGCUCGUGCGUUGCACUGCUGCACUGGCUUGGCGCACCCUCG
This 180-nucleotide small nuclear RNA is filed under the name Manihot esculenta (cassava). RNAcentral's name for it is "U2 spliceosomal RNA". It matches the Rfam family "U2 spliceosomal RNA". From Rfam's summary of the family: U2 is a small nuclear RNA (snRNA) component of the spliceosome (involved in pre-mRNA splicing). Lineage: Eukaryota; Viridiplantae; Streptophyta; Magnoliopsida; Malpighiales; Euphorbiaceae. The record is from Rfam by way of RNAcentral.